Cygnus olor (mute swan) is the source of this 8339-nucleotide long non-coding RNA. RefSeq lists it as uncharacterized. The transcript has 2 exons. The record is from RefSeq and is a predicted model, not a curated record. Lineage: Eukaryota; Metazoa; Chordata; Aves; Anseriformes; Anatidae.
AUAAAAAAUAUCAGCGGUGACUUUUUACACAGGCAGAUUUUGAUAGGUCAAGGGGGAACAGUUUUAAACUAAGAGAGGGGAGAUUGAGAUUUGAGAUUUGAUGUUAGGAGGAAAUGCUUCACUCAGAGGGUGAUGAGGCCCUGGAACAGGUUGCCAAGAGAAGCUGUAGAUGCCCUGUCCCUGGAGAUGUUCAAAGUCAGGUUGGAUGAGGCCCUGGGCAACCCACUCUAGUGGGUGUCAUCCCUGCCCUUGGCAGUGGGGUUGGAAUGAGGUUAUCUUGGCCUCAAGGGCACAUUGCUGACUCAUGGUUAGCCUGUUGUCCACCAGGAAUCUCAGAUCCCCCUCUGCAGAGCUGCUCUCCAGCAGAUCAGCUCCCAGCCUGUACUGGUACUUGGGGUUAUUCCUUCCUAGGUGCAGGACCUGGCACUUGCUUUUUUUAAACUUCCCGUGGUUGGUGAUUGCCCAGCUCUCAAAUGCUACGUUCAAAGUAGAUAAUCAAGUUGUACAUCUUACAAGCUAAUUUUCUGCCUGCUUAAAAUCAAAACCAGAAGGAUUUUUGAUGAUUAGGUAUGAUUAAGGGUGCACCUAAUUUCCGUGUAUAAUGUCAGACUUUAAAUAUAUGACAGUGGGAAAUAAGCUUUUUCAAAUUUGUUUUAUUUCAUAGGUAGAGAGAUGAACUUUAAAAGUGGCCAAGAAUAUUAGAUCACUUUCUCUGCGGUGUUGAAAACAUUCUUGUCUUAGAAAGUAUUUCCUUUCACUUUCAAGUGAUGGCAAGAUCACAGGUCAAAGAGCUGAAAACUGAAUUCAAAUGACUUUUGAAUUAUUUAAAAAACUUGAAAUAUUGAACAAAGGUAAGGAAUUCUUCAGUUCAUUAAAUAGUUUCUUAAUUUCUUUGCUUUGAAGUUAAAAAGAAGGCAUGGAGGAAAUGAGAAGGAAGGGCACCCGUGCUCUUCUCUCUCAAAACACACAGACAAAAACACCAAUAAUAAGGAGAGGAACAGAAAGGCUUCUUGACAUGGAAAAUAAACAUACAUCUAGUUUCUGUGGCUUGCCAUUUCUAUAAAUAAAACAUGAACUACUAUACAAGUUCAACGCAUAACUGAGUAGACAGUUCCUAGUGGUCAAAUAGACUUUAAAACUAACUGGGUUCAACAAAAAGCAUUGCCUGUUUUCAGUCUGUUUGAAUACAGAAAUGACUUGUGAAAUGACACUGUCAGUCUUGUGGACGCUGGACCCAAUAACCCUUGAGAUUGUCGAGUGUCAACCAUAUGUGAUAAAAGGCUACAUGUUUUAAAGAUAAUAUGUUUCUAAAAGUUUCAUGAAAAUGGGGGAUAGGUAGGGGUACUGACCAAAAGAAAAGCUAUAGUCUUAGAAGUCCGUUUGAUUAGAGAAUUUCUAUUAUGGCAGUUAUGUGCAGGUGUAUGCCCUAAAUAUUAUUCAGACCUCACAUAUGCUCACAAACUUAGUAGACAUCAAAAAGUCUUAACACUGCAUGCAAAUCCACAGGGAACAAGGUUUCAUUAUUUCUGCUGCUUAUCAUAGUGCUUAUUUUAAUAUGAACAAGAAAAAAAGGGACUGAAGUAAAAAUAUUAACCCAGAGAAGCAGAGAAGGAUAGACCUUGGGCUAUUUAACGUGUGUCUGUAACCUGCAGUGAUUAAUAUUAUUAGCAAUUAAUGCAAAAGUGAAAAAUAUGACAAACAAAGAAGAGGAGAAAGCUCAGUGAUACAGGGGAAGAUGUAUGAGGAAUGGCUAGGCCACUUCAUUUGUUCAGCUCAGAGAAGUCUGAGGGGUGACCUCAUCAUGGCCUACAGCUUCCCGAUGAGGGGAGCAGACGGACAGGCGCUGAUCUCUUCUCUCUGAGGACAGUGACAGGACCCAAGAGAAUGGCAUGGAGCUGUGACAGGGGAGGUUCAGGCUGGAUGUUAGGAAAAGGUUCUUCACCAAGAGGGUGGUUGAGUACAGGAACAGGCUCCCCAGGGCAGUGGCCACAGCAUCGAGUCUGCCAGAGUUCAAGCAAUUUGGACUCAAGCAUCUGGACAAUGCUCUCAGGCAUAUGGUUUGAUUUUUAGGUAGGAGCUGGACUUGACGAGCCUUGUGGGUCUCUUCCAACUCAAGAUAUUCUAUGAGAUCACUUGGUUUACUGAGCGUCAGCAAACAACACAUGCUAUCAAACAGCCAAUGUAUGGUGGUAAUGUAGAGGAACGUCAUCUAUAUAUGAAUAAAGAAUACCAGACAUAUUUACAGGAUUGGAGACUUUAUUAUAGGAAGAAGUGAAUAUAACACAAUCUUGAAUAAAUGUUAGAUAAUUGACUGAAAAGUAGCUGGUUCCAUGCUGCACCCACAGUAAAAGGAAUUAAAACAAGAUAAAGAGGAAAUUUCUGUCUGUACUUUUCUCUUCCUCUUGACACAAUUUGUGUACUUUUUCCUUCCAUGUAAAAAAAAGCAAUUACUAAGAGCUGUUUUGCUGCGCAAAAUGAAUAAAACUGCUAACAGUGUGAUGAGAAUAAUCAGCUUGCUUCCCAUUAAAGAGAACCCCUUUAAAAUACUGUCAAUACAUAAGAAUGACCAUGCUGGACCAGAUGCAAAGCUCAUUUUGUCCUUCCUGUCUCUGACAGGGAACAAUAGAAGAUGCUUAAGGAAUUGUGUAAAAACAAGAUAAGCAUAUAGUGGUACUUUUCCAACCAGUUCCCUAUCCUUCUGCAGUGUUUAGAUGAGCAGCUUUCUGUGCCAGAGAGGUUUUCUGUGUUCUUAAAAUUUAAAGUGUAUUUCCUUUCUGUGUAACUGUCUAGCAAUUCCUUGAAUCCGUUUACAUUUUUAGCAGCAAAAUAUAUUGUGAUUAGGAGUUAACAGCUUAACUAAACGGUGUGUGAACAAGUACUUUCUUUUGUUAUUGAACCUGCCAUCAGAUUGUUCAACUAUCUUUUGUAGUGGAAGGGACACCAAGCAUAUGAGCCUUCUGAAUCUGCCCAUGAUUUUAAGUCCCUUCAGUCUUUUUACUGUUUUGCCUAGGUCCAGAAACAUGUCAGUGGGGAGAGCAGAAGAAUUGGGCCUAGUUCCCAUCACAGGAGAAAAAUAGUCAGGAAAGAAUCUAGCCUGUGAAAGGAUAAUUUCUCAUAGUUGAUGGAAGUACUUAAUCUGGACUCUUGUUCAGAGGAAAAUAGGAUAAAAAGAGAAAAUACCAAAUCUGAUGACCAUGAGCUGUAGCUGGUUGGAAAGGCAAAGCAAAAAAGAAAACCCACAAUGGUUGAUUUCUAAUAUGGAACACCUUGAAGGUGUCAAACCAGUACUAAAUACAGGCCACUAUCACAUGAUCAUCAUACUUCAUCAGUGGAGCCAAUCUGAGUCUUACCUAAGAGACUGAAUGCUGUUCCUUGGUUCUGAGUUCCUUAAAAAGCUGACUGUAUGGCUGUACUCUAUCUCCAGCCUUCUGCAUUGAUCGUCUCACUGCAGAAGUUUUCUUCUUGUUACUGACUACACAAUCCUAGUCUUCUAUUAAAUGACCCUUAGUCUUCUAUUAGAUAGACCCCUCUUUAAGCAAGAAUUUGGAUCAGGUGACCUCCUGAGUUCCCUUGCAGCUUGAUUUAUUCUAUGAUGCUGCAUUUCUUCUUAAUACUUGCAGGCCUUCUUUCUCUCAGGGAACUCUGUAUAACUGACUUUGUACUCUUUCUUUUCCUUCCUUCCUUCCUUCCUUCCUUCCUUCCUUCCUUCCUUCCUUCCUUCCUUUCUUUCUUUCUCUCUCUCUCUCUCUCUCUCUUUCUCCACAAAAAUUUGUGCCACUUUGAAGUAUUUUCUGUGUUGAAAGUCCAACACGAAACUCAGCCUUUUUCUAGACGUGUGGAGAUGAUAGCAAUAAAAAAGUAUACAUUUGUUUUCUUCUGAUAUUUAGGAAUUUUUAGGAGAUCAGAAACAAACAAAAACCCAUAUAAAUGUGACAUUUUCUGGUGAUCAUCAAUUAUAAAAGGUCUGUACCUGAAAAAAAAACUUGUCAAAUAUGAUGCUGUAGGUGGUGUCCAUAAUUCUACUUAUGUUCAUAAAUUGCUAAUACAUGCACACACAAAAAGACAGAAAGUCAUAGAAAACUGAAGAUACUCUCCACAUUAUAAUUUUUUGGGUACGGAAUUUCCUGCUGUUUUACUGGUACAUAAAGAGCAUAUAUCCCUUAACCACAAAGGACUCUUAAGAGAUUUUCUUAAUUCAGACAGAAAGCUGUAACUUUUGCAAUGCAAAGUGGUAUUACUAUCGCUGGGCAAGGUAGAAAGUAGAGAGUAGUCCCUUUAUUCAUGUGGGGCGUGUGUGCAACAUUGUUCAACAAGGCUCCUGGUAAAAAAUGAAAGUGAAAUAAGCUGGAAUUUGGAAGCUUGAUAUAUCAUUACAAAACAGAAGGAAGUUGAUGGUUACUUGCGAGUCCUUUGGCUUUCUAGAGAAUCCAGAAAUCACUCAAAUGUAAUGAAAUGUAGCUGUAUAAAGUAUCAGCCACAAUUCCUAUAUCCACCUGCAUAUUUAAUUAAAAAGACAGCGUGUUAAUAUAAUUCAGAAUACUUAAACCCCCCUAUGAUUACAUUCAUGUAUGUUGGUCUCUUAAGUUCUGAGCAAUUCACGCUCUCAGUGUACUUGGUUCCUUGAGAUCUGUAAAAAGCCAUAAAAUGAUAAUUUGAAUGGACUAUGAAACUAUAUUAAAUAUGAAUGAUUAGAAAUAUUCUUUUUUUUUUUUUUUCUAACUUCCUAAAAACCUUAGGACCAAAUGGACAGAAAUUUAAACACCAACACCACAUGGACAGUUUGUUUCCUAUGGACUUUCAGAAAUGCAAGCAGAAGCUAAUAGGGAAUGGAAUAGCAUACUAUGCUAUGGAAUAGCGUACUAUAGCUACCAUACUCCUUUUAGCAAGUGCCCUAUAGAAAACGUUAUUUGUGGGUAUCUUAGUUUUUAAGUGUCUGAUUUUCCAUUCCUGGGAUCAAAUUUCCAAAGCGGUUGUACUCUCAGGCUACAUAUUGAUUCAGAACCUGCUAAGCAAGUCCUAAAUAUGACACACAAAUAUAGUGCAACUGUAAAUUAGAGGCUACUUUUGAAAAAGUUGCCCUUUCUUUCUUAGGUCAUCCUACCCUGAAACAAAUUGUCCUGUGAAGUCACAAAGCUCUGAGCAGCUGCUGUCUGCAGACUAUGCAAUGUAGUGGUCCAUCUGUUGCAUUUAGAAAGUAUGCUUCAUGGAUCUCAAUAAGAUGAAAACUCUGUAAAUUUUCAGAGACUGUUCUAGGCUCCCUUUCCAGUUAGUAUUGAGGGACAAUGACGUUGUGUGGCUGCUCUGUAGAAGUAUUGGUUUUCAAUCUGAAAUAUGAAAGCAACAGAGAAUUAAGGAUAUGGACAGCUGCAGUCAAAAAACAGCUUGACAGUUAACUCUUGCUUACUGACCCACUGCAGCUGAUGUGCCCUGCUGACUCUCCCUAAAGGGCACAAUGUAAUCUUUUUCAUGAUCAGUGGAAGUACAGUGCUACAGUAGGGAUGAAUUGCGAGUUAUGUUCAUCAGAACUGUGAGUUUUUCUUGAAAUAUAUUAAUGAAUAUUUCAACUGAGCUAUUCAUAUGGCUGUGGUAAAGCAUGCGCCUAGACACCUUGCAGGUCUGGGGCUGCUACACGGAGUGUCUGAAAAGGAUCAUGAAAUAAUGGGCAGGAAAUGAUGCAUUUCAGAAAAUGCAGGCUGUGUCAUUCACCAGUGGGCAAAUCUCUUUAUGAACAACCACAGUUUUUUGUUUUUUUUUUUUUAAUACCUGAAUCACCCGGCAUAUAAAGGCUUCCAAAAAUAAAAGAUAUGGUUCAAAAUAGAAAAAUACAUGUUCGGUCAGCCAGAGCUGUUAAAUAUACCAUAAUCAAAGUAAUAUAUAGCAACGAGGUACCUGGCAAAUUUCCAUCACAAAAAAUUCUGAAGAUACCUUUUUUUUUAAUAGCAUAGAUUGCACACGGUUGUAUAAAUAAUAAAGACAAUCAAAGCCAAUUGGUGAACUAGAUAACAAAAAAAUCCGUCACUUUUAUAUACACAAUACAGAGGAAAAAUAUGAAAUGAUUGAGAUUAGGAAAAAAAAAUAGUAAUUUUUAGACAAGCAAAUCCACAAUUAGCAAACAGAAAGUUGUCAAGGAAAUAAUCUGCUUUUGUGCUUGACUAACUUAUUUAUUGUAGGUAGGACUGUCAGAAACAGUCUAAUCUUCUAUUAGUUUUCUGAACAGUUAACAGCUAACAGAGCUAAAUCAAUUUUUGUCACAUACUCCUUAACUCAGAAUCAGUUUAAUUCUAUCAGUUAUUCAUUUAUUUCAUUAAUCUUAUUCUUGGAAGGAGCUUUGUAUUUGAAUAACAUACACAGUCAUAAUGUUUUUGUCAGUAAUAUAUAAGCCAAGGCCUGAAACAAAGUCAGAGAAAUUGUCUUACCUUUUAUCUAUCUUUUUUUUUUUCUUAGUGCUUGAAUCUUUUUGCACUGACAAUGGCAGUUUCGAUAUGUAACAACUCAGUGGAAGCAGAAUCUGAUCUUUUAUUAGAACACUGUUAUGUACCCUAUGGGAACAGGAAAUUUGAUUUUGGAGCCAAGAACGUAAAUUAGGGAAAGAUUUUUUUUUUUUUUGUAAACAAUUUAAUGGUCUAUGCCGGAAAAAAAUAAUUCUUGAAGUACAUCAAGUGGUCUGGUUACUGCAGGUACGAUUUCUGAAAGUGACCAGAGCUAUGUUCAACAAAUAUUUGGAGGGACUGUCAGACUGACGGGUGACCAUGUUAGUGUUUGGGUUCUAAAGCUCAGGCCAGGACUUUUGCUAUGUGCAGUGACCAUGAAAGAGUUUCUUCUAGGGGAUACCACAAUUAAAUUUGGAAGCCGUAUUUAUGUGAUACAACUGUUCCCAGCAAUAGAGAAUGUGAAUCUGAUAGAGUAUGAUUGUAUCUUCUGAUACUGUGAACUACUAUGCCAUAAUAUCUCAAAGCUUUGCUUUAAAUACAAGAGCCUAGGAAAGAAAGAAGAAUGUCUCUUUACUGGAAAAAAACAUUGCCUCCAAGGAUGAGUCAAAGGUGUUUCAUUCAUUUAGUGGUGGCACAGAAAAUUCAAAAGAUAUUACAGAAGCUUAGCAGUAAAACCAUCCUACAUGUUAUUUCAAAAUACCUUGUUCAGUCAUUUAAAUUUUGGGUUUAGAUACUAUGUCAGAGAAGUCUCAUUCAUGUAUGUAUGUAUGUAGGUAGGGCCUGAUGUCUACAUAUGUCUACAUACAUAUGGUAAUUUUCUUCUUAAUAGCUGUAUGCAAGCUCAAAAUACAGGGCAGCACUUUACAUGCUUUCUCUUGAUAUCUUUCACAUGAAUACAAACACACAGACAUUGCAACUGUAAGUUAUCAAGUACCGUAUCUUUGUGCCUCUCAUUCAUAUGAAAACAUGAAAGCAACUAUGUGGUAUGGUGUAUUUGAGUGUGCUUCAGCUGGAGCUAAUGCACUCAGAGAUGUGCUGACUAGUGAACAGUUGCAGUGAACUCUUUACAUCCUUGGUGACUUCACAAAUCUCUGCCAAUACUGCCAGUGUCUUACAUAUCCAUUUGUGUAUCCUUUAAAUUUGAUUUCAUCCCUUCUCCCAAGUUCUCCAUAUGAGUUUAUGAGUGCCAAGCUUUAAUGCUCCAGUACAAUGUAACUUAUUUGCGGGUCUUUAUUAAUCUCAGAUAAUCAAGAUUUGUGGGCACAAAAUCUCACUUUUAUGCAUAGAAAGUUCUGUAUAAUUCCAGUGUUUCUUUAUGCAUGCUGCAGACUGAAAAAUACAUUUAAUUCAUCAACAGCAAGUCAGGUAUACUUGGGGACAGGCUAGCAAUGUCAAAUUGACACCUCACAUCUGUCUUUCAACCUUAGAAUAUGUGAGUGGUUCUUCUCAUUCAGGUUUCAGUGUUUGCAUGGCCAUUCUCUGGACUGUUGCCUUUUGUGGGGUGAUGCAGUUCUCAGAGUGAAAGGUAUAGUGACAGUGUAAUUAAUGAUGUGAUAUUUCCGUGCUGUUUACUUAACUGUAUGUAUAAUAUUUUUAGUGAAAGCAGUUAGUAAAGAUGCGAGUUCAGUUAGAAGUCUCAAAUAAAAUAUCAGCUCUACAAAUAAACAGGCCACAAGGAACUGAGAUAAAAUUAUAUUUUCCCAUUUGGAGUAUACUUCACUGAAUUUCACAAGAUCAAUGAGACGUACAUUCUUAGGCCUUUCACCAGUAUCUCAGUCAUAAUCUGCUUAGAUUGAUUUGUCUGAAUAGUUGUACAUCUCAGCAUUAAUCUCUUUCUCUGGUGGAAACUUACAUGAACAUAUGCUUACACCUAAUUGUUGAACACUGAAGUAAAAAUAAUGCUAUAUU